UCCUUCCCCCUUUCAUGUGGGUUGAGCUCAGGUCAUCAGGCUUGUGUGGAAAAUGCUUUUACCUACUCAGCCCAUCUUGCUGUUGAAAACAGAACAUUUCAGCCAACAGAAACUAGUUAAACAUUGCCUUCGGUAUUAUAUUUUGAAGCUACCAUUACAGAUCCUGCAGGGGAGGCAAAGGUGAUCCACUAUGCAUGAAGGAGUGCGUGACAUCGAGAGGCAGCUGGAGGCUCCUCAGGAGAACACGUAGUGUGCAGCAUCACUUCACAGGACACAAAUGAAUGCCCACUGAACACACAGUCAGGUCUACAACCUCUAGGACAAGGUUCCACAGUGAGACAGCAGGGGAUCCUUCACCACACUGAGGACGGACAGAGGGUGAAGGAAAGGGCUGACAGGGCUCUACCCUUCCAAACACCAGCUGCGCAUUUUGAUUAAGGACCUCAAUAGUCUUUCCUCUCUCAGGGCAGUGAUUCAGUUAAAUGAAUUUAACUGUAAAUUUAAAAAGCAAACAAUAUCAAAGUGUAACGUACCAAAUUUUGGCAUUUGAUGAACAGGGAACUGUUUAAAACUGUCUCCAUCCCUUGACAGGUAAAGAUGAUUCAAGAGCAUCAUUGUGCCGGUCAACACUUGCUUGUUGCGUACUUUCUACAGGUUUCCAUGUCUAAGAAGGCCUCAAACAGCCCCUCAUAGGAUUCUCUAUCUUUCCUCCACUGAAGGGAAACCUGCCGAUGGCAUCUCAUGGAUUACCUCCCACUGACUACCCUGCAGUCACUAUGUCCCACCAAGUAUACCCACUCCAGGGACUAGUGCUUUACAAGACUUGGUGAAUUUUACAGACAGACAUCUGGCUCUUACCUCAUCUUGCAAGGUAGCAAACUCUUCAAGAAUGUGACCAAGUUUGUCUCUCUGCCGAGCCCUGUUAUGGCCAUGGAUCUGAACAAGACUACAAAAUGGCUGUAACACACAGACAACUUAGUAACUGUCAACACAAACUUUCUUUUUCCGAAAAGAAACAAUAUGCCAAGUUCUUAACUCUUGUUUAAAUGCAUGCACACACGCAGGGACAUGCACAAUUACACUGCUGAUGCUUCUUACACAGGUGCCCAUUUUUAAAGACGUCAACAUCAGAAUUUAUAAGUGGGUGGAAAAAGGUAGCUUUUUGUGAAAUAUGAUUUCCCAUGGCAAAAAGUACACUACUUCAUUCAAUAAUUGUCCUGCGAUUUCUCUUCUACUUAUUUUAAAGUAAGUCAAGAUUACAAUGCUCAUGUUUUUGUGAUGGUUGAGUCACGGCUCCUACCUCUGGCUCUCCUAUUCCUAAGGAUCUAAAACACAGCAUCCUGUAGAAGCCGGGACACUAUACUAAUCCAACAACAGACACGUAGUGUGCAGCCUGCAUUUAGGAAAUGUGACUGGCUUCUCUGAAACAGAACAGAGCUUGGGUUGGUAAGCUCUGACAGGCUGUCUUUGCCACAGCAACUGUUUUAGAAUAGUUAAGAGGUACAGAGGGCAUCUCUCAUCUGAAAACUCAAAUAACUAGAAAUAAAUAACUAGAUAAAUAAAUAAAUCAAGACAGAGUCUGAUGUAGUCCAAGGUGGCCUUGAACUCACUAUGUGGCUGAGGGUGAGUGAUCCUGAAGUGGUGAUCCCCUGGCCAUUUCCUGAGUGUUAGCAUAAAAGGCAAGUAUCACCAAGUCCAGUUUUCAAAAAUUUUCUGAGUAUCAAGAUAACACUAAAACCCCAUACUCGGGAACAUGCUGGAUUUCAGGUUUUUGAAACAGGGAUGCUCAACCCACAAAUUCUAUGCAAAUAUUCCAAAAUCUGAAACAUUUUUAGUCCAAGUAUUUCACAUUUCAUAAAAGUGACGCUCAGCCAGCAUUAACAUUUCACUCUUUAAAGAGGUAAUUUUCAAAAAGUAAAACAAUACCCCUGAUGAUAAUAAAAUGUUACAUAAAUAAAAUCUAGUGUUCUUAGUCUUCCACCACACAAUAGCCUUCAUACUCACAUUUGCAUGCACACUUGUAUGCACACGUGCAUGCAUACACUAGAGUUAGCCCCUAAAGAAUUUCCUAAUGGAUUAUUCUGAGAGAAGUGUUUAUAUAAUUAAAUAAGAAUGACUGGUAACUUAAAUCUACAAAUCUGUAUAUUUUCCCAAACUGGAAAAAAAAAAGUUUAACAGUCUUAAUUUAUAUAGAAUCCUUUUCAUUACCACAGUUCCAAGAUAAUCAUAUAGGAAUGUUACAAAAAACUUUUUAAGGCCAAAAGUGAAGCUCGCAUGUCCAUUUAUAAAGCAUACUAGAGAACAAGAGAGCUAUAAUGUCUCAUUUCUGGUCCUCACCAACAGUAGUAGUUAUCUGAACAUGUAAAGAGUACAGGCCAUAAAGCCGCUUACUCAAGCAGUAAGAGGAGACAGAAAUGUUAACGUAUUCACUAGAUGAGAACAAGAGAUGUGAAAUGAAUAACACAAAAGAACUGAGCGGCAUAAUCUGCCAAGUAGCCAUCAUAACAACCCAAACUGCGGUUCUUACCCGAACACAGUGAGUAACAAAGGAGUCGAUGCAGUCCUUAGCCUGGUGAUUAUUAUACAGGCAACACCUGUAAAACAAUGUUCACGUCACUAACAUCAGACUGUGUAGCUUAGACAAAGAAGCAGUGAUUACUACAUGCUACUGACAGAGAAAACAACCAAAUCCAUGACUAGGCUGAGGAACACUAGCAUGAUGUUAAGCAUUCCAUAGUCCUGUGCUUUGCACACGUGUGUAUACACAUGCGUGUAGUGAGACCAGAACAUCUAAAGCCCGUGUCUCCCGGGCCAUCUGUCACUUCUACAAUAAUAUCCUCUCAUAAUCUACAGAGAGCACUAAAUUUCAAGAAAAAGCCUCAUUUGCAACCAGAGAUUGGAAAACACUGGACUUGUCUACUCUCCUUCUGAAGUGCUGUUUUUUCUCCUCACCUAACUGCCCCUUCCUCACAGUCUUUAAGGACCUGUCACCUAGUCCUGGAGUAGGCACAGAGGCUGAAAGAUACCAGGAUUUUAAAGACAAAGUGCAUAGAGACCAGUGAUGUGGGAUCUGAGGCAACGAAAGAAAAUCAGAAGAGAUUUUCUCCUGGUGCCUUAAUAGAACUCUGACAGAGAUGAGCAAUCUCACAAGCCUCAAAGAGAAGCAGAGCCCUGACCACACAACACAGAAGGUCAGGCAGCCAGGAGGUAGCAAAGCGGAACACCAGGAAUAAGGCAAGUACUCAUUGGAAGGAAGGAAGGAAGGAAGGAAGGAAGGAAGGAAGGAAGGAA
Molecule: long non-coding RNA, 3291 nt
Organism: Rattus rattus (black rat)
Lineage: Eukaryota; Metazoa; Chordata; Mammalia; Rodentia; Muridae
Exons: 2
Source: RefSeq, a predicted model, not a curated record